Molecule: RNase P RNA, 396 nt
Filed under: Thalassobium sp. R2A62
Lineage: Bacteria; Pseudomonadati; Pseudomonadota; Alphaproteobacteria; Rhodobacterales; Paracoccaceae
Also listed under: 1 other name
Description: Thalassiobium sp. R2A62 Bacterial RNase P class A
Rfam family: Bacterial RNase P class A
About the family: Ribonuclease P (RNase P) is a ubiquitous endoribonuclease, found in archaea, bacteria and eukarya as well as chloroplasts and mitochondria. Its best characterised activity is the generation of mature 5'-ends of tRNAs by cleaving the 5'-leader elements of precursor-tRNAs.
Source: Rfam by way of RNAcentral
GCGGAUGGUCGGAUGAUCGCGGGGCGGGCAACCGUUUCGAGGAAAGUCCGGACUCCAUAAGGCAACGGUGCCGGGUAACGCCCGGCUGGGGUAACCCAAGGGACAGCGCCACAGAGAACAGACCGCCACGGGACGGGUCGGGCUACCGAUACUACCCCGCGGUAAGGGUGAAACGGUGGAGUAAGAGACCACCGCGAGACUGGCAACAGGAUCGGCACGGCAAGCCCCACCGGGAGCAAUGCCAAAUAGGAACCUCGCGUGGGCAACCACAGGCUCGCUUUAGGCCAGAGGUUCGGGUUGGCAGCUAGAGGCGUCAUGGUAACAUGGGGUCGAGAUGAAUGAUCAUCGAACGCAGCAAUGCGGGAACAAAAUCCGGCUUAUAGACCAUCCGCGCAU